This 433-nucleotide ribosomal RNA is filed under the name uncultured bacterium. RNAcentral's name for it is "partial 16S ribosomal RNA". It matches the Rfam family "Bacterial small subunit ribosomal RNA", at positions 29 to 507 of the family's 1533-position model. The record is from RNAcentral.
AACGAACGCUGGCGGCAUGCCUAACACAUGCAAGUCGAACGAGACCUUCGGGUCUAGUGGCGCACGGGUGCGUAACGCGUGGGAACCUGCCCUUAGGUUCGGAAUAACUCCCCGAAAGGGGUGCUAAUACCGGAUAAUGUCUUCGGACCAAAGAUUUAUCGCCUUUGGAUGGGCCCGCGUUGUAUUAGCUAGUUGGUAGGGUAAAAGCCUACCAAGGCGACGAUCCAUAGCUGGUCUGAGAGGAUGAUCAGCCACACUGGGACUGAGACACGGCCCAGACUCCUACGGGAGGCAGCAGUGGGGGAUAUUGGACAAUGGGCGAAAGCCUGAUCCAGCAAUGCCGCGUGAGUGAUGAAGGCCUGAGGGUUGUAAAGCUCUUUUACCCGGGGUGAUAAUGACAGUACCGGGAGAAUAAGCUCCGGCUAACUCCGUG